RNAcentral lists this ribosomal RNA (478 nucleotides) under uncultured bacterium. RNAcentral's name for it is "bacterial SSU rRNA". It matches the Rfam family "Bacterial small subunit ribosomal RNA", at positions 501 to 978 of the family's 1533-position model. The record is from RNAcentral.
CUACGUGCCAGCAGCCGCGGUAAUACGUAGGGUGCGAGCGUUAAUCGGAAUUACUGGGCGUAAAGCGAGCGCAGACGGUUACUUAAGCAGGAUGUGAAAUCCCCGGGCUCAACCUGGGAACUGCGUUCUGAACUGGGUGACUAGAGUGUGUCAGAGGGAGGUAGAAUUCCACGUGUAGCAGUGAAAUGCGUAGAGAUGUGGAGGAAUACCGAUGGCGAAGGCAGCCUCCUGGGAUAACACUGACGUUCAUGCUCGAAAGCGUGGGUAGCAAACAGGAUUAGAUACCCUGGUAGUCCACGCCCUAAACGAUGUCAAUUAGCUGUUGGGCAACUUGAUUGCYUAGUAGCGUAGCUAACGCGUGAAAUUGACCGCCUGGGGAGUACGGUCGCAAGAUUAAAACUCAAAGGAAUUGACGGGGACCCGCACAAGCGGUGGAUGAUGUGGAUUAAUUCGAUGCAACGCGAAGAACCUUACCUGG